UGGAGAGAUACCGAAGUGGUCAUAACGGCGUAGCCUUGAAAGCUAUUGUGGUGUAAAAGCCUCGCGGGUUCGAAUCCUGCUCUCUCCGU
This 89-nucleotide transfer RNA is filed under the name compost metagenome. RNAcentral describes it as "tRNA-Ser". It matches the Rfam family "tRNA". From Rfam's summary of the family: Transfer RNA (tRNA) molecules are approximately 80 nucleotides in length. Their secondary structure includes four short double-helical elements and three loops (D, anti-codon, and T loops). The record is from RNAcentral.